AUGAAUGGAAUAGGUGGCAUCUGGAACCCAGGAAUGGUAGGGAUAGUUGUUGGUAUUGUGAUCGGAAUGGAUGGAAUGGUAAUUGGAACUGAGGGCAUUGGUGGCAUGGUAACAGGCAAAGUAGGAAUGGUCGGCAUGGUGGUUGGGAUCGCCGGAAUCGGAAGAGAUGGAACUGUGCCAGGGGCGGUUGGUGCCAUGGCGACCUUCGGGAUAGGAAUGAAUGGUAUUGGCGGCAUUGUCAGUUUCGGAACUGCGGGAAUGGAAGGCAUUGGAGGCGGUGUUGUUGGAGCUUCCGGUGUAGAACGCUGA
Molecule: ribosomal RNA, 309 nt
Filed under: Triticum aestivum (bread wheat)
Lineage: Eukaryota; Viridiplantae; Streptophyta; Magnoliopsida; Poales; Poaceae
Description: partial small subunit ribosomal RNA
Source: RNAcentral